Molecule: ribosomal RNA, 531 nt
Filed under: uncultured Nitrososphaerota archaeon
Lineage: Archaea; Thermoproteati; Nitrososphaerota
Description: bacterial SSU rRNA
Rfam family: Archaeal small subunit ribosomal RNA
Source: RNAcentral
UCUGGUGUCAGCCGCCGCUUGUAAAACCAGCACCUCGAGUGGUCAGGAGGUUUAUUGGGCCUAAAGCAUCCGUAGCCGGUUGUUUAAGUUUUCGGUUAAAUCUAUGCGCUUAACGUAUAGGCUGCCGAAAAUACUGGACAGCUAGGGAGUGGGAGAGGUACACGGUACUCAAUAGGAAGGGGUAAAAUCCUUUGAUCUGUUGAUGACCACCUGUGGCGAAGGCGGUGUACCAGAACACGUUCGACGGUGAGGGAUGAAAGCUGGGGGAGCAAACCGGAUUAGAUACCCGGGUAGUCCCAGCUGUAAACGAUGCAAACUCGGUGAUGCAUUGGCUUGUGGCCAAUGCAGUGCCGCAGGGAAGCCGUUAAGUUUGCCGCCUGGGAAGUACGUACGCAAGUAUGAAACUUAAAGGAAUUGGCGGGGGAGCACCACAAGGGGUGAAGCCUGCGGUUCAAUUGGAGUCAACGCCAGAAAUCUUACCCGGAGCGACAGCAGAAUGAAGGUCAAGCUGAAGACUUUACCAGACAAGCU